Long non-coding RNA from Carassius carassius (crucian carp), 772 nucleotides. RefSeq lists it as uncharacterized. The record is from RefSeq and is a predicted model, not a curated record. Lineage: Eukaryota; Metazoa; Chordata; Actinopteri; Cypriniformes; Cyprinidae. The transcript has 2 exons.
CAAUGCAACAUCUAGCAUUAAUUAUAUAAAUAAUAUAAUUAUUAUUAUUUUCUAACAAGUAUUGCUCAAAGACCGCUAGCUUACAUUUUUUUCGGCGACUGCAAUAUUUUGCUCCUCACUCAGACGCGACGAGCGCAGAGCAGCGCUGGUUUCCUGCCAUAUAGUGCGCUUCCUCAGAUCGGUGUCUCGUGACGACCAGCUGAUCAGCUCUUCAAAGCAACUGCCCUGAGGUACAGUUCAAAAUACAGUAGAUGGCGAUAUGCAACUGAUAAAUCAUGGUUAUAAUCCGCCAUAAAACUAAGAAGAAGAACAGUUUAAAACGCUCGUGCUGACUCCCUGCACUGAGCGCGCGCGCGGACUGAAUGAAAGCAGUGGCUUGCGCGCAACUCUCCAGACGCGUUGACCAUCACAGGUUUGAUACUUUUUGGUUUCUGUGGGAAUCAGAAUUCCUCCUCUGGAGUGGCACUCGGGGUUCCUCCGGUCCGGCUGAAUUCCUGCGAGCAGAGAAUCCAUUUGCAUUGAUAUUAGCAGCCCUUCACCAUGGUUACGAGGUCGUACCCCGACCAUGAGGAAGAGGGAAAAAAACCAGCACAAGAUGCCAAGAGCUGACUCAAAUGAGUUUGAGCCGAAAACGUUUGAUGUCCCAGCCAAUUUUGUGCAUGCUGGGUUUGAGAGGCCAGACAUCUUAUGCAAGAGAUUUAAAUCGGACUAAAUAAAAUAAAUGUAAUGGUGAUUAAAAUUUCAUUUUAAUUAAAAGGAGAUUCCAAAACAA